CCUACGGGUGGCAGCAGUGAGGAAUAUUGGUCAAUGGACGAGAGUCUGAACCAGCCAAGUAGCGUGAAGGAUGACUGCCCUAUGGGUUGUAAACUUCUUUUAUAUGGGAAUAAAACGUUCCACGUGUGGGAUUUUGUAUGUACCAUAUGAAUAAGGAUCGGCUAACUCCGUGCCAGCAGCCGCGGUAAUACGGAGGAUCCGAGCGUUAUCCGGAUUUAUUGGGUUUAAGGGGAGCGUAGGUGGAUUGUUAAGUCAGUUGUGAAAGUUUGCGGCUCAACCGUAAAAUUGCAGUUGAAACUGGCAGUCUUGAGUACAGUAGCGGUGGGAGGAAUUCGUGGUGUAGCGGUGAAAUGCUUAGAUAUCACGAAGAACUCCGAUUGCGAAGGCAGUUCACUGAACUGCAACUGACACUGAGGCUCGAAAGUGUGGGUAUCAAACAGGAUUAGAUACCCCUGUAGUC
RNAcentral lists this ribosomal RNA (460 nucleotides) under uncultured bacterium. RNAcentral describes it as "partial 16S ribosomal RNA". It matches the Rfam family "Bacterial small subunit ribosomal RNA", at positions 338 to 795 of the family's 1533-position model. The record is from RNAcentral.